This 434-nucleotide ribosomal RNA is filed under the name uncultured bacterium. RNAcentral describes it as "bacterial SSU rRNA". It matches the Rfam family "Bacterial small subunit ribosomal RNA", at positions 29 to 507 of the family's 1533-position model. The record is from RNAcentral.
AACGAACGCUGGCGGCAUGCCUCAUACAUGCAAGUCGAACGAGGUCUUCGGACCUAGUGGCGCACGGGUGAGUAACAUGUGGGAAUCUACCUGAAGGUUCGGAAUAACUGCGGGAAACUGUAGCUAAUACCGGAUGUGUCUGCAAAGAGAAAGAUUUAUCGCCUUCAGAUGAGCCCGCACUAGAUUAGCUAGUUGGUGAGGUAAUUGCUCCACCAAGGCUACGAUCUAUAGCUGAUUUGAGAGGAUGAUCAGCCACACUGGGACUGAGACACGGCCCAGACUCCUACGGGAGGCAGCAGUAGGGAAUAUUGGACAAUGGGGGAAACCCUGAUCCAGCAAUGCCGCGUGAGUGAAGAAGGCCUUCGGGUUGUAAAGCUCUUUCAUCAAUGAUGAUAAUGACAUUAGUUGAAGAAGAAGCCCCGGCUAACUUCGUG